RNAcentral lists this ribosomal RNA (503 nucleotides) under uncultured bacterium. RNAcentral's name for it is "partial 16S ribosomal RNA". It matches the Rfam family "Bacterial small subunit ribosomal RNA", at positions 30 to 523 of the family's 1533-position model. The record is from RNAcentral.
AUUGAACGCUGGCGGCAGGCUUAACACAUGCAAGUCGAGCGGGGUGAUGGUGCUUGCACUAUCACUUAGCGGCGGACGGGUGAGUAAUGCUUAGGAAUCUGCCUAUUAGUGGGGGACAACAUCUCGAAAGGGAUGCUAAUACCGCAUACGUCCUACGGGAGAAAGCAGGGGAUCACUUGUGACCUUGCGCUAAUAGAUGAGCCUAAGUCGGAUUAGCUAGUUGGUGGGGUAAAGGCCUACCAAGGCGACGAUCUGUAGCGGGUCUGAGAGGAUGAUCCGCCACACUGGGACUGAGACACGGCCCAGCCUCCUACGGGGUGCAGCAGUGGGGAAUAUUGGACAAUGGGGGGAACCCUGAUCUAGCCAUGCCGCGUGUGUGAAGAAGGCCUUAUGGUUGUAAAGCACUUUAAGCGAGGAGGAGGCUCUUUUGGUUAAUACCCAAGAUGAGUGGACGUUACUCGCAGAAUAAGCACCGGCUAACUCUGUGCCAGCCGCCGCCGUAA